RNAcentral lists this ribosomal RNA (253 nucleotides) under uncultured bacterium. RNAcentral's name for it is "partial 16S ribosomal RNA". It matches the Rfam family "Bacterial small subunit ribosomal RNA", at positions 524 to 776 of the family's 1533-position model. The record is from RNAcentral.
GACAGAGGGUGCAAACGUUGUUCGGAAUUACUGGGCGUAAAGCGUGUGUAGGUGGCCGCGCAAGUCGGAUGUGAAAGCCCUGGGCUCAACUCAGGAAGUGCACCCGAUACUGCGUGGCUCGAGUACCGGAGAGGUUGGUGGAAUUCUCAGUGUAGAGGUGAAAUUCGUAGAUAUCGAGAGGAACACCUGUGGCGAAGGCGGCCAACUGGACGAGUACUGACACUGAGACACGAAAGCGUGGGGAGCAAACAGG